Thunnus maccoyii (southern bluefin tuna) is the source of this 538-nucleotide long non-coding RNA. RefSeq lists it as uncharacterized. The transcript has 2 exons. NCBI's taxonomy places the organism in Eukaryota, Metazoa, Chordata, Actinopteri, Scombriformes, Scombridae. The record is from RefSeq and is a predicted model, not a curated record.
AUAUAUAUAUAUAUAUGAAAGACAUAUGAUUUAUAACAUUUUUUGGUCUUAUUUCAUUUUUUUAACUUCUAAACUUAACCUGUGCCAGAAAACACCCUUGUCUUCGUCAAGAAUUCACAACUUCAAACAAUUAAAAAAAAAUGUUAAAAGCCUUCAAAAUCUAAAACUAACAAUACCUACUGAUAACAUAGGUGUAAACAUUUACUAUUAACAUCUUUUUUUUAAAAUAUUUUUUUAAAUGAAAAUAUUGGCCAUUUAAAGUUGUGUCCCAGAUUUUUGUCAACCUCAGAUUUCUACAAAAACAUAAUUUAAUCAGGCAUAAAAAGGGUUAGCUAUAUUUUAAGGACCCCUGUCUCACUUCCUGGUUUCAAAAAAGGCGGGAAAGCUGCUCAAGCACUGGUACAAAUGGCUAAACAAAACCUGUCUUUGGAGGUGAAGAGGGCCACAAACAGAGAGUAUGAGACAAAGAGAAGAGAGAGGAUAAAUAAUCAGCCUGACAAAAAGACAGAAGAACUACAAAGGGAAAGAGAAACAUGGA